RNAcentral lists this ribosomal RNA (443 nucleotides) under uncultured bacterium. Its description in RNAcentral is "partial 16S ribosomal RNA". It matches the Rfam family "Bacterial small subunit ribosomal RNA", at positions 338 to 795 of the family's 1533-position model. The record is from RNAcentral.
CCUACGGGAGGCAGCAGUGGGGUAUAUUGGGCAAUGGGCGCAAGCCUGACCCAGCAACGCCGCGUGAAGGAAGAAGGCUUUCGGGUUGUAAACUUCUUUUCUGCGGGACGAAGAAAGAGACGGUACCUCAGGAAUAAGCCACGGCUAACUACGUGCCAGCAGCCGCGGUAAUGCGUAGGUGGCAAGCGUUAUCCGGAUUUAUUGGGUGUAAAGGGCGUGUAGGCGGGAAAGCAAGUCAGAUGUGAAAACUGAGGACUCAACCCUGAGCCUGCAGUUGAAACUGUUUUUCUUGAGUGCUGGAGAGGCAAUCGGAAUGCCGGGUGUAGCGGUGAAAUGCGUAGAUAUACGGAGGAACACCAGUGGCGAAGGCGGAUUGCUGGACAGUAACUGACGCUGAGGCGCGAAAGCGUGGGGAGCAAACAGGAUUAGAUACCCGUGUAGUC